GAGUUUGAUCAUGGCUCAGAACGUACGCUGGCGGCACGCCUUAUACAUGCAAGUCGAACGAAGUAGCAAUACUUAGUGGCAGACGGGUGAGUAACAUGUGGGUAUCUUCCCUAUGGUGAGGAAUAACACGAGGAAACUUGUGCUAAUACCUCAUAAGUCUUUACGGAGAAAGCUUUAUGCGCCAUUGGAUGAGCCCGCACUUGAUUAGUUUGUUGGUAGGGUAACGGCCUACCAAGACUGUGAUCAAUAGCUGAUUUGAGAGGAUGAUCAGC
RNAcentral lists this ribosomal RNA (272 nucleotides) under uncultured Alphaproteobacteria bacterium. RNAcentral's name for it is "partial 16S ribosomal RNA". It matches the Rfam family "Bacterial small subunit ribosomal RNA", at positions 9 to 308 of the family's 1533-position model. Lineage: Bacteria; Pseudomonadati; Pseudomonadota; Alphaproteobacteria. The record is from RNAcentral.